AAAAGUUUUAAGUUAAAUAAACUAAUAAUCUUCAAAAUUAUCAAUAAAAUAUACUUAUUUUAAGCUUUA
This 69-nucleotide transfer RNA is filed under the name Anabolia bimaculata. RNAcentral describes it as "tRNA-Trp". Lineage: Eukaryota; Metazoa; Arthropoda; Insecta; Trichoptera; Limnephilidae. The record is from RNAcentral.